UCGCCUGUUUAUCAAAAACAUCGCUUACUGCCCCCACCAUUUUAAGUAAAGCUGCCCAGUGGAAUCCUAAACGGCCGCGGUAUCUUGACCGUGCAAAGGUAGAAAAAUAAUAUGCCCCCUAAUUAGGGGAUCAUACAAAGACACUACAAAAUAACACUUUCUUUUAAUGAUUUAAAAUUUAUAAAGAAGGUGAAAAUACCUUCCUCCCCCUAAAUGACAAAAAGUCCCUGGGAGCUUAAACACAAAUAUAAUAUAAAACAACGAAUGUUUUGCUGGGGCGGCCCUUUACAACCCUACAUUCCUAACCGAACAUACUUCCGACAUCUAACCCAAUAAUUAAAAAAAGUAAGCUACCCCAGGGAUAACAGGCUAAUAUUUUCCGAAAGCUCACAUUUACGAAAAUGUUUGGCACCUCGAUGUUGGCUUAGGGAACCUCUAGAUCGCAUCAGACCUAAAAGAGGGUUUGUUCAACCCUUAAAUCCCUACAUGAUCUGAGUUCCAACCGGAGA
RNAcentral lists this ribosomal RNA (509 nucleotides) under Sphaerosyllis densopapillata. RNAcentral describes it as "partial 16S ribosomal RNA". It matches the Rfam family "Bacterial large subunit ribosomal RNA", at positions 1796 to 2622 of the family's 2925-position model. Lineage: Eukaryota; Metazoa; Annelida; Polychaeta; Phyllodocida; Syllidae. The record is from RNAcentral.